This is a long non-coding RNA of Felis catus (domestic cat), 1343 nucleotides long. RefSeq lists it as uncharacterized. The record is from RefSeq and is a predicted model, not a curated record. Lineage: Eukaryota; Metazoa; Chordata; Mammalia; Carnivora; Felidae. The transcript has 2 exons.
GCCAGCAGGUGCUCGCGCCGCCGUAGCUGCUCUGCCUGUGACCGCUGCUCACGCGCCGCGCGGGUCAGCUCCUCCUCGCGGCUCAGAAGUUCCUGCGCCCGGGACAAGGAAGGUGGUGGGAUCAGCCCAAAAAGGAAACGGAGCAGAGAAACCACUUAGUCAAGACCAUAUGCAAAUAAAGAACAGCGUCCAACCUAGUCUGUGCGGUUCUCAAACCAGCGUUCCGACUUUUCCCUAAUGCUGCAUUGGACAGAAACCCAUGUCUUGCCAUGGUGCUGAGACAGGAGUGUGAAUUAGAACCCCCGUUCGUGUGAGGACCAGGAGGGAACCCCUUGGUGAGAAAGGAAACCCAGCAGGCACUGCAGGCCCCCGGUGCCCAUGUCUCUCGUCUUGGCUAGUGCAGCCACUCUCCGUGAGGACAGAAAGACUCCCAACAAAAGAUAUCUACUGAUGCGGCCGGACAUGAAGAAAACGGGGAGUCUGAGAAGUGAAGGUCCUUGGCCAGAAAGGAGGAGCUUGGGACAAACACGGGAGUGGAUGGUCAGAUUUGGCAGGGGUUCCUGGUGUUGACCCCAAUGGGGCCACCAUAGUCUGUAGACAGAGGAGAAGCAGCAACUUGCAAAUCUCUCAUCGGGACAAACGUGGCUCAGAUGAGAGGUUUUGAGGAACAGAAAGAGGAUAAAGUCAUAGAAUCAUCAAGGGUUUGAAGGGGGCCUCUCACUCUGCUAGUUAUUGUAGAGAAGUGACAUCCAAGCCAAUUACCUUUCUGAACAUACGUCAUUUCAGGGCACACCAACCACUCAGCCCUGCUGUCCAGGGUGAAAGCACCAUUACGGGGGCAGCUCAGGGUACUGAGGGCAGAGGGGAUGGGCACCUAACCCAGCCUGGCAAAAGGGAGGACUUCUUGGAGGAGGUGGCAGAACCAGGGUAUUCACUUUUCCAGGCUUGAAACCAUAACCCCGGCUCCUGCUGCUGGCCAAGCUUUCUGGGCCUUGCGGCCGCAUCUGGCACUGCCGUCCCCCCCCCCCCCCCCCCCAGCUGUCUUUGAUUCUGGGGCCUCUGGCUGCUUGUGCUAUUUCCUUAGGGCCUCCCCUCCCCUCAGCCUUUUCGGUGCCAGUGCUCCUCAGAGCCUGGCCUCUCCUCAACCUCUGCCCACUGCCCCCAGGCUGUCUUGGCCUCUCCCAAGUGCCAGCUGCCCCCUCCCUGUUGGACUCUCCCACAUUUGAAGCUCUAGGCCAGAAGCCAAUUCAGCUGCCCAUCACCGCCCCGUCUGAUGUCCAAAUGCCCUCAACAACCACCUCCUGAAUCCCACCGCACACAGCAAAUCUCCCUGCAAUUUCUCC